UGAGGAAUAUUGGUCAAUGGGCGCGAGCCUGAACCAGCCAAGUAGCGUGAAGGAUGAAGGUCCUAUGGAUUGUAAACUUCUUUUAUAGCAGAAUAAAGUGACCCACGUGUGGGUUUUUGUAUGUAUGCUAUGAAUAAGGAUCGGCUAACUCCGUGCCAGCAGCCGCGGUAAUACGGAGGAUCCGAGCGUUAUCCGGAUUUAUUGGGUUUAAAGGGUGCGUAGGCGGAAAGAUAAGUCAGUGGUGAAAUCUCCGAGCUUAACUUGGAAACUGCCGUUGAUACUAUAGGUCUUGAAUUAUCUGGAGGUAAGCGGAAUAUGUCAUGUAGCGGUGAAAUGCUUAGAUAUGACAUAGAACACCAAUUGCGAAGGCAGCUUACUACAUAUAAAUUGACGCUGAGGCACGAAAGCGUGGGGAUCAAACA
RNAcentral lists this ribosomal RNA (422 nucleotides) under uncultured bacterium. Its description in RNAcentral is "bacterial SSU rRNA". It matches the Rfam family "Bacterial small subunit ribosomal RNA", at positions 355 to 774 of the family's 1533-position model. The record is from RNAcentral.